GUCCCUCACCCCGCCCAUGGAGGUCAUUAAGGCUCCCUGCCAGCGAUUCCUGGUCUGUCCAGCCUGACUGCCCAGGAGCCUGGCUCUUCCUACCCCUGGGCUUGGCCAGGGGGUCGUGUGAUGACUUCUUGCCAAUGAAGCGUAGGGCCUCUAAGGAGGUAAUCAGAGUUACAUGAGGUCAUAAAGGUGGUCCCUGAUCCCAGGGGACUGCUGUUCCUAUAAGCGAAAGACCCCAGGCUAUGCGAGGACACAGCAAGAAGGUGGCCAUCUACAAGACGAGGAGAAGGCCUCACCAGGAACCAGCCCCACUGGCACCUUGAUCUUGGACUUCCAGCCUCCGGAACUGUGAGAAAAUAAAUUGUUUAAGCCACCCUGUCUCUGGUAUUUUGUUAUAACAGCCCGAGCGGACUGUUGCGCUCGCUCUAGGCAUGUGGGUUAGGGCUUCCAGAGAAGAGUCCGGCCUGGCCAACAGCUUGAUUUUGGCCUUGUGGGAUCCUAGAGAGCCCAGCUGAGCCUGUCUAGACUUCUGACCAACAGGACUGA
Molecule: long non-coding RNA, 543 nt
Organism: Lutra lutra (Eurasian river otter)
Lineage: Eukaryota; Metazoa; Chordata; Mammalia; Carnivora; Mustelidae
Exons: 3
Source: RefSeq, a predicted model, not a curated record